UAGGGAAUAUUCGGCAAUGGGGGGAACCCUGACCGAGCAACGCCGCGUGAGUGAAGAAGGUUUUCGGAUCGUAAAGCCCUGUUGUUAAGGAAGAACGAGUGUGAGAAUGGAAAGUUCAUACUGUGACGGUACUUAACCAGAAAGGGACGGCUAACUACGUGCCAGCAGCCGCGGUAAUACGUAGGUCCCGGGCGUUGUCCGGAGUCAUUGGGCGUAAAGCGAGUGCAGGCGGUUAGAUAAGUCUGAAGUUAAAGGCAGUGGCUCAACCAUUGUAGGCUUUGGAAACUGUUGAACUUGAGUGCAGAAGGGGAGAGUGGAAUUCCAUGUGUAGCGGUGAAAUGCGUAGAUAUAUGGAGGAACACCGGUGGCGAAGGCGGCUCUCUGGUCUGAAACUAACGCUGAGGCUCGAAAGCGUGGGGAGCGAACAGG
RNAcentral lists this ribosomal RNA (429 nucleotides) under Bacteroidota bacterium. Its description in RNAcentral is "Bacteroidetes bacterium partial 16S ribosomal RNA". It matches the Rfam family "Bacterial small subunit ribosomal RNA", at positions 355 to 776 of the family's 1533-position model. Lineage: Bacteria; Pseudomonadati; Bacteroidota. The record is from RNAcentral.